RNAcentral lists this unclassified non-coding RNA (1341 nucleotides) under Hevea brasiliensis (rubber tree). The record is from RNAcentral. Lineage: Eukaryota; Viridiplantae; Streptophyta; Magnoliopsida; Malpighiales; Euphorbiaceae.
AUGUUUCGGAAUGAUUACCAACUCCCACACAAAAAGGGGCAGCUGUGAAUUAAAAUUGAGAAAUCAUUCCAAAACAAGUACACAAUGUGGUGUUGCCUAAUAAUCCUAUUGCAGCUCUUCUCAAAUGACAAAUGCUUCACCUAUCCCAUGCGGCCUGGUAUACGCUAGGUCUAUGCUUCAACCAAUGGACCAUCUCCCUGUCUAGAAGAGAAUUGUUCAAUACAGAAUCUAGCAUUGGGCUGCCAAUAACUUUUGGAGAACUCUUGAAUGACCAUAUCUGGUCUUUAGGCCAAGCCUUCUGAGGGUACUUUUCCAUCCUUUCCAGCAAAAGCUUCAGAGUCUUUGGACCAUAAAUGCGUUGCUGUGAUGGCUUCUGAACCUUGGCAUAGAAGGAACCAAUGUCAGGUAAAGACAAGCAGCCCCUACUUGCCUUAGCCAGGCUACAAUCUGGGUCAGCCAGCAUUAGUCUGUAUAUGCCAAUAGAUCAACUGUCCCAAACAAUAAUUUUCACCAUAUGUCUUUCGAUAUUCAUGGAUACCUGCUCCCAACUUAUCAGCAUACUUCGGACCCAAGUCAAGCGGACUAAUGUGAACUGGUGGAGAAGUAUAUGUUUUGUACUCCUGAACUCUAAAGAAGCUUCUUGUGUAAGCAUAAAUAUGGAUCAAGUCAGCUGCAGCAUCAUUCCGGCACUUGUAUGUACAUGGAAUAUUCCGGACUUCAUCCCUCAACCACAACAAUGACUUCUGAAGUUCUUUCCGAAUGUUAUCACAUUCUGAUAAAUCACGUGCAUGAAUCUUGGACUUGAGAUCAUUAAGUAUGCUGGCAUCCACAUGAGGUGCCAUGCACUGAAGAAGCUCCUCAACAAGUGAUCCCUCCCCUUUCCAGAGGAAAGAAACAGUUUCCUCAGGACUUAGCCUCUCCAAUGGAGGUGGAGCUUUUUUUUGGGUCACCAAAUACACAUCUCAUCACAUACCUCACCUUGUCAAGAGUUACUGCUAAAUUUUGAAGCCUCUGGUUAUAAACACCUUCAGCCUGAACCUCGGCAUCACUUCUUUCAACCUCAAGACAAAUAUCUGAGAAAUAUUUCCUUUUUUCUUCCAAAUUGUGCCUUAGAAUUUCCUCAGGAAGCUUCGUUCUCUCCAGAUUUAUGAACCUCACCAGACGAGCAGAAUAUGCAACCACCCAAUCUGGCAAACCACCAAGCAAACAACUGCCUAAACCAGCCCUCCCCAAGUCAAGAUAAUCUUCUUCAGAUACUGAAUUUAGUUCACAAGCUUGAAGCAUCAAAUGAUGUCGAUCCAGCAUGGCAUGCCACUCCUUCAGUACCUUCUGGAAAGCCCC